AAAUUGAAGAGUUUGAUCAUGGCUCAGAUUGAACGCUGGCGGCAGGCCUAACACAUGCAAGUCGAACGGUAGCACAAAGGAGCUUGCU
This 88-nucleotide ribosomal RNA is filed under the name Citrobacter freundii. RNAcentral describes it as "partial 16S ribosomal RNA". It matches the Rfam family "Bacterial small subunit ribosomal RNA", at positions 1 to 84 of the family's 1533-position model. The record is from RNAcentral. Lineage: Bacteria; Pseudomonadati; Pseudomonadota; Gammaproteobacteria; Enterobacterales; Enterobacteriaceae.